CCUACGGGAGGCAGCAGUGGGGAAUAUUGCACAAUGGGGGAGAGCCUGAUGCAGCGACGCCGCGUGAAGGAAGAAUGACCUAGGGGUGGAAACUUCUAUUAGUAGGGGAGAAAAUGGAGGUACGUGACCAAGACGCCACGGCUAACUACGAGCCAGAAGCCGCGGUAACACGUAGGGGGCAGGCGUUAUCCGGAUUUACUGGGUGUAAAGGGAGCGUAGGCGGUUUAGCAAGUGAGAAGUGAAAGUCUGGGGCUCAACGCCGGGACUGCAUUUGAAACUGGUGAACUUGAUUGCAGGAGAGGUAAGUGGAAUUCGUGGUGUAGCGGUGAAAUGCGUAGAUAUUAGGAGGAACACCAGUGGCGAAGGCGGCUUACUGGACUGUAACUGACGCUGAGGCUCGAAAGCGUGGGGAGCAAACAGGAUUAGAUACCCUUGUAGUC
Molecule: ribosomal RNA, 440 nt
Filed under: uncultured bacterium
Lineage: Bacteria
Description: partial 16S ribosomal RNA
Rfam family: Bacterial small subunit ribosomal RNA
Source: RNAcentral